Molecule: ribosomal RNA, 253 nt
Filed under: uncultured bacterium
Lineage: Bacteria
Description: partial 16S ribosomal RNA
Rfam family: Bacterial small subunit ribosomal RNA
Source: RNAcentral
CACGUAGGGGACGAGCGUUGUCCGGAUUCAUUGGGCGUAAAGCGCGCGUAGGCGGCCCGGCAAGUCGGAUGUGAAAACCUGGGGCUCAACCCCAGGCGUGCACCCGAUACUCCCGGGCUGGAGGCAGGUAGGGGAGAUCGGAAUUCCUGGUGUAGCGGUGAAAUGCGCAGAUAUCAGGAGGAACACCGGUGGCGAAGGCGGAUCUCUGGGCCGUGCCUGACGCUGAGGCGCGAAAGCUAGGGGAGCGAACAGG